This 835-nucleotide ribosomal RNA is filed under the name Martelia tanganyicensis. Its description in RNAcentral is "partial 16S ribosomal RNA". The stretch from base 301 to 553 matches the Rfam family "Archaeal large subunit ribosomal RNA", at positions 1784 to 2143 of the family's 2987-position model. The record is from RNAcentral. Lineage: Eukaryota; Metazoa; Mollusca; Gastropoda; Thiaridae.
AAUUUUAAUAUAUUAUUAAUUAAUUUUUAACUUUAUGUCAUUAUCCACACUUCAAAGGAUAAGCUUAGGAGUUCUUAUGGGUCUAAUACAAUUAAAUAAAUUGUGUAAGCUUAAAAUUAGCUAUCACAAAAGUUUGUUAUAAAAUAAUCACAAUAUCAAUAAAAAUUUAAAUAUUUAAUACCAAAUAUUAAUGAAGAUAAAAUUAAAAACUAUUAUUAAUUUUCACCUAUGCUAAGAUGAGUAUUAUUAAUUUUUAAAAAUGGAAUAAAUAUUAUUUUCCAUUAAAUAAAAUAAUUUAACUAUAUUAAUUAAGUAAAAGGAACUCGGCAAAUUAAUGCUCCGCCUGUUUAUCAAAAACAUGGCUCCUUGGAUUUAUAAAUAUAAGGAGUCAGACCUGCCCAGUGAAAAUAUUUUAACGGCCGCGGUACUCUGACCGUGCAAAGGUAGCAUAAUCACUUGCCUUAUAAUUGAAGGCUAGUAUGAAUGGUUAAACGUGAGCAAUACUGUCUCUUAUCUACUUCCUAAAAAUUAACCUUUAGGUUAAAAGGCCUAAAUUUCAUUAAAGGACAAGAAGACCCUGUCGAGCUUAAAAGACAAUAAUAGAAGUUAUUAUCAUAGAAAUAAAUAAAUCUAUACAGCUUUUUAGUUGGGGCGACUAAGGAACAAAUAAAGCUUCUUUUUAUAUAGUAAGCUAAAUAGCAUUGAUCCAGUAAACUGAUCAAAAAAAUUAGUUACCGCAGGGAUAACAGCAUAAUCUCUCUUGAGAGAUCAAAUCGAAAGGGGGGGUUGUGACCUCGAUGUUGGACUAGAAUAUCCGGAAGAUGCAGAAGUCUUC